UACGGGGGGGGCGAGCGUUGUUCGGAAUCAUUGGGCGUAAAGGGUGCGUAGGUGGCGCCGUAAGUCGGGUGUGAAAUCCUGAGGCUUAACCUCAGAACUGCAUUCGAUACUGCGGUGCUUGAGGACUGGAGAGGAGACUGGAAUUCAUGGUGUAGCAGUGAAAUGCGUAGAGAUCAUGAGGAAGACCAGUGGCGAAGGCGGGUCUCUGGACAGUUCCUGACACUGAGGCACGAAGGCCAGGGGAGCAAACGGG
This 253-nucleotide ribosomal RNA is filed under the name uncultured bacterium. Its description in RNAcentral is "partial 16S ribosomal RNA". It matches the Rfam family "Bacterial small subunit ribosomal RNA", at positions 524 to 776 of the family's 1533-position model. The record is from RNAcentral.